UUCAUUCUUAGAACGUUAUGAUAUAUAUCUCUCUGAAAUGGUCAACAUUGGCAAGCAGGCGGGAAUGAACACAAUUCGAUCUUCCUGCCUACCUAUGAUCAGAUAGAGGUUCGGAAUGUUGCAAGAUGGUAGUUAUAUUUUUCCUAUCAAACCUUCUCGAACCAACAUUUGGCUUUGGGGAUGAUCCAUGGUAUUCCAAUUCAACUCUUUAAGCACCAAACGGAACAAUAACAAGAAAAAAAAUCUCCAAAAAAAAGAAGAGAAGAGAAAAAAUCUUGAAUCUACAACGUCGAACCCUUGCCGGUUCGAAAUCUGAGACGGGUAUUGGCGUGGUGAGUCGAGGACGAAGAAAAGAAGAAAUGCACGAAAUAAAAAGAAA
Molecule: small RNA, 379 nt
Filed under: Histoplasma capsulatum var. duboisii H88
Lineage: Eukaryota; Fungi; Ascomycota; Eurotiomycetes; Onygenales; Ajellomycetaceae
Description: Histoplasma capsulatum H88 hypothetical RNA
Source: RNAcentral